ACGGGAGGCAGCAGUAGGGAAUCUUCCGCAAUGGACGAAAGUCUGACGGAGCAACGCCGCGUGAGUGAUGAAGGUUUUCGGAUCGUAAAGCUCUGUUGUUAGGGAAGAACAAGUGCGAGAGUAACUGCUCGCACCUUGACGGUACCUAACCAGAAAGCCACGGCUAACUACGUGCCAGCAGCCGCGGUAAUACGUAGGUGGCAAGCGUUGUCCGGAAUUAUUGGGCGUAAAGGGCUCGCAGGCGGUUUCUUAAGUCUGAUGUGAAAGCCCCCGGCUCAACCGGGGAGGGCCAUUGGAAACUGGGAAACUUGAGUGCAGAAGAGGAGAGUGGAAUUCCACGUGUAGCGGUGAAAUGCGUAGAGAUGUGGAGGAACACCAGUGGCGAAGGCGGCUUACUGGACUGUAACUGACGUUGAGGCUCGAAAGCGUGGGGAGCAAACAGGAUUAGAUACCCUGGUA
RNAcentral lists this ribosomal RNA (459 nucleotides) under uncultured Bacillus sp. RNAcentral's name for it is "partial 16S ribosomal RNA". It matches the Rfam family "Bacterial small subunit ribosomal RNA", at positions 341 to 792 of the family's 1533-position model. The record is from RNAcentral. Lineage: Bacteria; Bacillati; Bacillota; Bacilli; Caryophanales; Bacillaceae.